RNAcentral lists this ribosomal RNA (379 nucleotides) under uncultured bacterium. Its description in RNAcentral is "bacterial SSU rRNA". It matches the Rfam family "Bacterial small subunit ribosomal RNA", at positions 29 to 408 of the family's 1533-position model. The record is from RNAcentral.
AUUGAACGCUGGCGGCGUGCUUAACACAUGCAAGUCGUGCGGUAACAGGCGUAGCAAUACGUGCUGACGAGCGGCGAACGGGUGCGUAAUACAUGGGAAUCUGCCCUUUAGUGGGGAAUAACCCGGCGAAAGCCGGGCUAAUGCCGCAUAAGAUCUUCGGAUGAAAGCGGGGGAUCGUAAGACCUCGCGCUGAUGGAUGAGCCCAUGUCGGAUUAGCAGUUGGUGAGGUAACGGCUCACCAAGGCGACGAUCCGUAGCUGGUCUGAGAGGACGGCCAGCCACACUGGGACUGCGACACGGGCCAGACUCCUACGGGAGGCAGCAGUAAGGAAUAUUGCGCAAUGGGCGAAAGCCUGACGCAGCGACGCCGCGUGGGGGA